RNAcentral lists this ribosomal RNA (119 nucleotides) under Lepisosteus oculatus (spotted gar). Lineage: Eukaryota; Metazoa; Chordata; Actinopteri; Semionotiformes; Lepisosteidae. The record is from RNAcentral.
GCCAGCAGCCAUAUCACUCUGCAACUCACAGAUGGGAACCCAUUGAAGCUAAGCAGGUUUGAGCCUGGUCUGUACCUGGAUAGGAGACCUCCUGGGAAAAACUAAGGUUGUUGAAGGAA